UUUGGUCAUUUAGAGGAAGUAAAAGUCGUAACAAGGUCUCCGUUGGUGAACCAGCGGAGGGAUCAUUACCGAGUUUACAACUCCCAAACCCAUGUGAACAUACCUACUGUUGCUUCGGCGGGAUUGCCCCGGGCGCCUCGUGUGCCCCGGAUCAGGCGCCCGCCUAGGAAACUCAACUCUUGUUUUAUUUUGGAAUCUUCUGAGUAGUUUUUACAAAUAAAUAAAAACUUUCAACAACGGAUCUCUUGGUUCUGGCAUCGAUGAAGAACGCAGCGAAAUGCGAUAAGUAAUGUGAAUUGCAGAAUUCAGUGAAUCAUCGAAUCUUUGAACGCACAUUGCGCCCGCCAGUAUUCUGGCGGGCAUGCCUGUCUGAGCGUCAUUUCAACCCUCAUGCCCCUAGGGCGUGGUGUUGGGGAUCGGCCAAAGCCCGCGAGGGACGGCCGGCCCCUAAAUCUAGUGGCGGACCCGUCGUGGCCUCCUCUGCGAAGUAGUGAUAUUCCGCAUCGGAGAGCGACGAGCCCCUGCCGUUAAACCCCCAACUUUCCAAGGUUGACCUCAGAUCAGGUAGGAAUACCCGCUGAACUUAAGCAUAUCAAUAAGCGGAGGA
This 607-nucleotide ribosomal RNA is filed under the name uncultured Clonostachys. RNAcentral describes it as "eukaryotic LSU rRNA". The stretch from base 226 to 379 matches the Rfam family "5.8S ribosomal RNA". The record is from RNAcentral. Lineage: Eukaryota; Fungi; Ascomycota; Sordariomycetes; Hypocreales; Bionectriaceae.